UGUGAGGCUAGAGUCUCACCGAGGCAUGACGUUGCCCCGGCGUGCUGGAGUCCUCGGAGAGCAGCCGCUGGCCUUAUUCCCUGGCUGUGGCCCCGUGGCCGGGCCGGUCACCAGGCCAGGGACAGGC
This is a small nucleolar RNA of Erinaceus europaeus (western European hedgehog), 127 nucleotides long. The record is from Ensembl. Lineage: Eukaryota; Metazoa; Chordata; Mammalia; Eulipotyphla; Erinaceidae.